This 450-nucleotide ribosomal RNA is filed under the name uncultured bacterium. Its description in RNAcentral is "partial 16S ribosomal RNA". It matches the Rfam family "Bacterial small subunit ribosomal RNA", at positions 354 to 796 of the family's 1533-position model. The record is from RNAcentral.
GUGGGGAAUAUUGGACAAUGGGCGAAAGCCUGAUCCAGCCAUGCCGCGUGUGUGAAGAAGGUCUUCGGAUUGUAAAGCACUUUAAGUUGGGAGGAAGGGCAGUAAGUUAAUACCUUGCUGUUUUGACGUUACCGACAGAAUAAGCAUCGGCUAACUUCGUGCCAGCAGCCGCGGUAAUACGAAGGGUGCAAGCGUUAAUCGGAAUUACUGGGCGUAAAGCGCGCGUAGGUGGUUUUGUAAGUUGGAGGUGAAAUCCCCGGGCUCAACCUGGGAACUGCCUCCAAAACUGCAUGACUAGAGUACGGUAGAGGGUAGUGGAAUUUCCUGUGUAGCGGUGAAAUGCGUAGAUAUAGGAAGGAACACCAGUGGCGAAGGCGACUACCUGGACUGAUACUGACACUGAGGUGCGAAAGCGUGGGGAGCAAACAGGAUUAGAUACCCCGGUAGUCC